RNAcentral lists this long non-coding RNA (279 nucleotides) under Lathyrus oleraceus (garden pea). Its description in RNAcentral is "Pisum sativum (pea) long non-coding RNA (PSAT_LNC039195)". Lineage: Eukaryota; Viridiplantae; Streptophyta; Magnoliopsida; Fabales; Fabaceae. The record is from RNAcentral.
UCCAUUUGGACUUUUCAAAGUUGAUUUGAAAUGGAUUUGAAGUUUGACCUUUAACUGUUCAUUUUAAUUCAUGUAUUAUUUUAAUUUCCAAAAAUACCAAAAAUAUUUUAUUUGUUUCUUGACUUCUAAGUUUCAUUUUGCUUCUGUUUACUAGUGUUUGACCUUGAUUUCAUCUAUCUUUGGUCAAUGUACUUUGAUUAUUUUUUUGAAUUUCCAUUAAUGUACAUUCUUAUUCAUCUUCUUCUUCAUCUUUUUUUUCUUUUGAUCAAUGAGUUAAAG